CUCUGGGGUCUGAAGAGAGGCCAGCGUGUCCCAAAGGCAAGCCCACGGGGGAAUUUCCAGGAGAGAGGAAGGAGACAGGGGAGCAGCAGAUUUAAGACUAAGUGGAUUAUGACACCAUGUGAUGACAUGGUAACUGGAUCACACCAUUCCUCUCCACUGCCCUUGUCUGGGGGAUGGUGGGCGGGCCACUGUUCCCAUGUGAGGGACGGUGAAUGGAUAACUCUAAACGUAGUGACUCAGGCUCACAGCAGUGUAUACAUCGACAUACACAGAAAAUCAGGGACGGCGGUGGUGGUGAGAGUUGGUGUAUCCUGGAGUUACGAAAAACGAGUGGGGGAAAUGUGUGUUCUUUGAGCUGGCAUCAUUGAAAUGGAUAUGAAAGUUGAAUGAUUUGUCUCUGAGGCUCUGAAAGACUUCAAGAAAUUGACAAGCGCAUCAUCUUCCUUCUAACAACCUCCCUCUCUCGCUGGUACACCUCCCCAUACGCCCACGCGUGCUGUCACAUUUAGAGGAGAGCUGAAUUCUUACACUGCAAGUGUCCUCUUUCUGCCGAGCGGCACAGGGGAAGAUGUCUCAAUUGCACAUGUGGGAACCGACGGUCCAGGCGCUAUACACAAGUUACAGGCCCUCCCGCGAAGACCAGCAAAGCCAGGAUUGCUUGCUGUAAAACUAAAGAGGGAGUGUAUUUGAUUUCAUUUGGUGCUUGAGCAUAAUUUCUUCAGUGCUUGGUGGGAUUUCGGAUUUCUUUGGCUCUCCUAAAUCAUCUUAAUGUCUUCCCUUCUGACUCUGUGGUCAUUUUGAAACAUGGCUGCAUGUUCUUUGACACAUCGUCCAUCAACAGUCAAGAUCUACGUACCCUCCGCUUGGAUCUGAGCAGGCUUGGG
RNAcentral lists this long non-coding RNA (884 nucleotides) under Equus caballus (horse). Its description in RNAcentral is "lncRNA (ENSECAG00000034674.3)". The record is from RNAcentral. Lineage: Eukaryota; Metazoa; Chordata; Mammalia; Perissodactyla; Equidae.